UACCACCCGCGUGUUAAUUCCAAGAAGCGCGCAUCGAUGGACCUCCUUGAUUGAUUCCUCAUCCGACGGCGACAGUAAAAAAAAAAUCAGAGCCCACCGCUGCGGCGACAAAAAUAAUUCACGGAACCGCCGACAAUUAAUUAAGAGAUUACCGAGAAUAAAAUUUAAUGCCGGCCGAGUGUCAAGAAGGACAUCAUUAAAUUAUUAUUCCCUCUCUGCUCAAACAUGCAGCAGCCAAAAGAAAGAAAGAAAGAGAGAGAAUGGCGCGCGGGCCUAUUAGUAGGAAAGAGCGGCCUUCUCGGAAGUGUUGCACGAUGGACCUCCAGAUUGCCAAUUCCGAGAAGCUCUUUUAUUUAACCCCUUUCCCCCCACCCCGAGCGGCGGCCCGCAUCGCCUAAGAGCGCAGUCUGCGACCGGUCGCCACCGCGACAGCACCGAACACCACAUCGAACCAGAGCAGGCCGACCAGGGUGCACGCCACGAUGAACACGGACAGCAGGGUGAUGCUGAGACUAGAGAAGCCUGCAACAAGUCCAAACAGAGAUUUGUAGGUUUGUUCGCAAAACGUUCGGAGCCAGAAUCAUCAAAUUCUCGACUCUCGUGUGUAUAAAAAUUAAUAAAAAAAUCAGGCGAAAAAUAAAGGUGCAAAAACUCGGAUGAUUUUGGGUUUUAUUUAUGUCAGUACAAUUAAAUUUAUUUAUUUGUAUAAUAAUAAUUGCUACUUUUUACAAUUCUUUAAUUGAUGGAUACAUUCAACAAGCACUCUGAUUGACAAAAAAAUUGGCAAGUUUUUGAAGGAAGUCGCAAUCCGGGGACUUGUCAAAGUUCAACGAAUAAGCUUUGAAUCUUAAGUCGAAUUUGUUUCUAUCAAUUUAUUGAAAUAAACCAAUAAUUAAAAAAAAAAAAAAAUUAAA
Long non-coding RNA from Neocloeon triangulifer, 914 nucleotides. RefSeq lists it as uncharacterized. The transcript has 2 exons. The record is from RefSeq and is a predicted model, not a curated record. Lineage: Eukaryota; Metazoa; Arthropoda; Insecta; Ephemeroptera; Baetidae.